RNAcentral lists this ribosomal RNA (253 nucleotides) under uncultured bacterium. Its description in RNAcentral is "partial 16S ribosomal RNA". It matches the Rfam family "Bacterial small subunit ribosomal RNA", at positions 524 to 776 of the family's 1533-position model. The record is from RNAcentral.
UACGAAGGGGGCUAGCGUUGUUCGGAAUUACUGGGCGUAAAGCGCACGUAGGCGGACAUUUAAGUCAGGGGUGAAAUCCCGGAGCUCAACUCCGGAACUGCCUUUGAUACUGGGUGUCUUGAGUGUGGAAGAGGUGAGUGGAAUUCCGAGUGUAGAGGUGAAAUUCGUAGAUAUUGGGAAGAACACCGGUGGCGAAGGCGGCUCACUGGCCCGAUACUGACGCUGAGGCACGAAAGCGUGGGGAGCAAACAGG